This 610-nucleotide ribosomal RNA is filed under the name Pseudoalteromonas tetraodonis. RNAcentral describes it as "bacterial SSU rRNA". It matches the Rfam family "Bacterial small subunit ribosomal RNA", at positions 66 to 667 of the family's 1533-position model. The record is from RNAcentral. Lineage: Bacteria; Pseudomonadati; Pseudomonadota; Gammaproteobacteria; Alteromonadales; Pseudoalteromonadaceae.
GCGGUAACAUUUCUAGCUUGCUAGAAGAUGACGAGCGGCGGACGGGUGAGUAAUGCUUGGGAACAUGCCAUUAGGAGGGGGACAACAGUUGGAAACGACUGCUAAUACCGCAUAAUCUCUUCGGAGCAAAGAUGGGGCUCUUCGGACCUAUCGCCUAAUGAUUGGCCCAAGUGGGAUUAGCUAGUUGGUGAGGUAAAGGCUCACCAAGGCGACGAUCCCUAGCUGGUCUGAGAGGAUGAUCAGCCACACUGGAACUGAGACACGGUCCAGACUCCUACGGGAGGCAGCAGUGGGGAAUAUUGCACAAUGGGCGCAAGCCUGAUGCAGCCAUGCCGCGUGUGUGAAGAAGGCCUUCGGGUUGUAAAGCACUUUCAGUAAGGAGGAAAGGUUAGUCGCUAAUAUCGGCUAGCUGUGACGUUACUUACAGAAGAAGCACCGGCUAACUCCGUGCCAGCAGCCGCGGUAAUACGGAGGGUGCGAGCGUUAAUCGGAAUUACUGGGCGUAAAGCGUACGCAGGCGGUUUGUUAAGCUAGAUGUGAAAGCCCCGGGCUCAACCUGGGAACUGCAUUUAGAACUGGCAGACUAGAGUGUGAUAGAGGGUGGUAGAAU